CAGGAUAUGUGUUUACUUUUGCAGGGGGAGCUGUGUCAAGGCAGUCGAAAUUGUAGAAGUGUUGCAUUGUCUAAAACUGAAGCAGAGUAUAUUGCAGUAGCUGAAGCUGUCAAGAAAUUACUGUGGUUGAAAAGAUUUCUCCAAGAGCUGGGUUUGAAGCAGCAUGAGUAUGUGGUUAACUGUGACAGUCAGAGUGCUUUAGAUUUAAGCAAGAAUGCCACAUACCAUUUUCGUAACAAACAUAUUGAUGUGAGAUACCAUUGGCUUCGUGAUGUGAUGAAUGCAAAAGAAAUUUUGUUGAAGAAGAUUCACACUGAUAAGAAUUCAGCUGACAUGUUAACUAAGGUGGUGACUCGAGACAAGCAUCAGUUCUGUGCCAAGAUCAUAGGACUGAGUUCCAUGUAAUUUGUUAAGGAACAAAACACCUUCCCCAUAAGCUGGAGGGGGAG
Molecule: unclassified non-coding RNA, 449 nt
Filed under: Hevea brasiliensis (rubber tree)
Lineage: Eukaryota; Viridiplantae; Streptophyta; Magnoliopsida; Malpighiales; Euphorbiaceae
Source: RNAcentral